Molecule: ribosomal RNA, 2992 nt
Filed under: Salmonella enterica subsp. enterica serovar 4,[5],12:i:-
Lineage: Bacteria; Pseudomonadati; Pseudomonadota; Gammaproteobacteria; Enterobacterales; Enterobacteriaceae
Description: 23S ribosomal RNA
Rfam family: Bacterial large subunit ribosomal RNA
Source: RNAcentral
GGUUAAGCGACUAAGCGUACACGGUGGAUGCCCUGGCAGUCAGAGGCGAUGAAGGGCGUGCUAAUCUGCGAUAAGCGCCGGUAAGGUGAUAUGAACCGUUAUAACCGGCGAUACCCGAAUGGGGAAACCCAGUGUGACUCGUCACACUAUCAUUAACUGAAUCCAUAGGUUAAUGAGGCGAACCGGGGGAACUGAAACAUCUAAGUACCCCGAGGAAAAGAAAUCAACCGAGAUUCCCCCAGUAGCGGCGAGCGAACGGGGAGGAGCCCAGAGCCUGAAUCAGCAUGUGUGUUAGUGGAAGCGUCUGGAAAGGCGCGCGAUACAGGGUGACAGCCCCGUACACAAAAGCGCAUGUGCUGUGAGCUCGAUGAGUAGGGCGGGACACGUGGUAUCCUGUCUGAAUAUGGGGGGACCAUCCUCCAAGGCUAAAUACUCCUGACUGACCGAUAGUGAACCAGUACCGUGAGGGAAAGGCGAAAAGAACCCCGGCGAGGGGAGUGAAAAAGAACCUGAAACCGUGUACGUACAAGCAGUGGGAGCACAGGUUUACCUGUGUGACUGCGUACCUUUUGUAUAAUGGGUCAGCGACUUAUAUUCUGUAGCAAGGUUAACCGAAUAGGGGAGCCGGAGGGAAACCGAGUCUUAAUUGGGCGUUAAGUUGCAGGGUAUAGACCCGAAACCCGGUGAUCUAGCCAUGGGCAGGUUGAAGGUUGGGUAACACUAACUGGAGGACCGAACCGACUAAUGUUGAAAAAUUAGCGGAUGACCUGUGGCUGGGGGUGAAAGGCCAAUCAAACCGGGAGAUAGCUGGUUCUCCCCGAAAGCUAUUUAGGUAGCGCCUCGUGAAUUCAUCUCCGGGGGUAGAGCACUGUUUCGGCUAGGGGGCCAUCCCGGCUUACCAACCCGAUGCAAACUGCGAAUACCGGAGAAUGUUAUCACGGGAGACACACGGCGGGUGCUAACGUCCGUCGUGAAGAGGGAAACAACCCAGACCGCCAGCUAAGGUCCCAAAGUCAUGGUUAAGUGGGAAACGAUGUGGGAAGGCCCAGACAGCCAGGAUGUUGGCUUAGAAGCAGCCAUCAUUUAAAGAAAGCGUAAUAGCUCACUGGUCGAGUCGGCCUGCGCGGAAGAUGUAACGGGGCUAAACCAUGCACCGAAGCUGCGGCAGCGAACGUAUCACCCAAGACAACUUUACGGAGUUGACGAUUGACGGAGCGAAGCGACGUCAAAGCGUUCAUUAAAGUCGAGUUGGCUUAGGGAUACGUUCGUUGGGUAGGGGAGCGUUCUGUAAGCCUGUGAAGGUGUGUCGUGAGGCAUGCUGGAGGUAUCAGAAGUGCGAAUGCUGACAUAAGUAACGAUAAAGCGGGUGAAAAGCCCGCUCGCCGGAAGACCAAGGGUUCCUGUCCAACGUUAAUCGGGGCAGGGUGAGUCGACCCCUAAGGCGAGGCCGAAAGGCGUAGUCGAUGGGAAACGGGUUAAUAUUCCCGUACUUGGUGUUACUGCGAAGGGGGGACGGAGAAGGCUAUGUUGGCCGGGCGACGGUUGUCCCGGUUUAAGCGUGUAGGUGUGUGUUCCAGGUAAAUCCGGUUCACUUUAACACUGAGGCGUGACGACGAGGCACUACGGUGCUGAAGCAACAAAUGCCCUGCUUCCAGGAAAAGCCUCUAAGCAUCAGGUAACACGAAAUCGUACCCCAAACCGACACAGGUGGUCAGGUAGAGAAUACCAAGGCGCUUGAGAGAACUCGGGUGAAGGAACUAGGCAAAAUGGUGCCGUAACUUCGGGAGAAGGCACGCUGACACGUAGGUGAAGUGAUUUACUCAUGGAGCUGAAGUCAGUCGAAGAUACCAGCUGGCUGCAACUGUUUAUUAAAAACACAGCACUGUGCAAACACGAAAGUGGACGUAUACGGUGUGACGCCUGCCCGGUGCCGGAAGGUUAAUUGAUGGGGUCAGCGCAAGCGAAGCUCCUGAUCGAAGCCCCGGUAAACGGCGGCCGUAACUAUAACGGUCCUAAGGUAGCGAAAUUCCUUGUCGGGUAAGUUCCGACCUGCACGAAUGGCGUAAUGAUGGCCAGGCUGUCUCCACCCGAGACUCAGUGAAAUUGAACUCGCUGUGAAGAUGCAGUGUACCCGCGGCAAGACGGAAAGACCCCGUGAACCUUUACUAUAGCUUGACACUGAACAUUGAGCCUUGAUGUGUAGGAUAGGUGGGAGGCUUUGAAGUGUGGACGCCAGUCUGCAUGGAGCCGACCUUGAAAUACCACCCUUUAAUGUUUGAUGUUCUAACGUGGACCCGUAAUCCGGGUUGCGGACAGUGUCUGGUGGGUAGUUUGACUGGGGCGGUCUCCUCCUAAAGAGUAACGGAGGAGCACGAAGGUUGGCUAAUCCUGGUCGGACAUCAGGAGGUUAGUGCAAUGGCAUAAGCCAGCUUGACUGCGAGCGUGACGGCGCGAGCAGGUGCGAAAGCAGGUCAUAGUGAUCCGGUGGUUCUGAAUGGAAGGGCCAUCGCUCAACGGAUAAAAGGUACUCCGGGGAUAACAGGCUGAUACCGCCCAAGAGUUCAUAUCGACGGCGGUGUUUGGCACCUCGAUGUCGGCUCAUCACAUCCUGGGGCUGAAGUAGGUCCCAAGGGUAUGGCUGUUCGCCAUUUAAAGUGGUACGCGAGCUGGGUUUAGAACGUCGUGAGACAGUUCGGUCCCUAUCUGCCGUGGGCGCUGGAGAACUGAGGGGGGCUGCUCCUAGUACGAGAGGACCGGAGUGGACGCAUCACUGGUGUUCGGGUUGUCAUGCCAAUGGCACUGCCCGGUAGCUAAAUGCGGAAGAGAUAAGUGCUGAAAGCAUCUAAGCACGAAACUUGCCCCGAGAUGAGUUCUCCCUGAGACUUUAGGUCUCCUGAAGGAACGUUGAAGACGACGACGUUGAUAGGCCGGGUGUGUAAGCGCAGCGAUGCGUUGAGCUAACCGGUACUAAUGAACCGUGAGGCUUAACCUU